UUGCUUGAGUCCAGGAGUUUGAGACCAGCCUGGGCAACAUAGUGAGACCCUGUCUCUACAAAAAGCAAAAAACUUACCAGGGGCCGGGCUCAGUGUCUCACACCUGUAAUCCCAGCACUUUGCAGGGCCAAAGUGGGUGGAUCACCUGAGGUAAGGAGUUCGAGACCAGCCUGGCGCACAUGGUGAAACCCCAUCUCUACCAGAAAUACAAAAAAUUAGCCGGGUGUGGUGGCGCACGCCUAUAGUCCCAGCCACUUGGGAGGCUGAAGUGGGAGGAUUGCUUGAGGCUGGGAGGCGGAGGUUGCAGUGAGCCAAGAUCGCAUGCCACUGCACUCCAACCUGGGUUACAAAGUGAGACCCCUCCUUUAAAAAAAAAAAAAGAAUAAAGGGCCGCCAGAAGUUGUCCCUUAGCAGACUCCUGAAGUUUAGGGUUUGGAAACUUUGGCAUCAAGGUGAGUCCAAAAAUAAAAAGGAAUCAGAGA
Molecule: long non-coding RNA, 482 nt
Filed under: Homo sapiens (human)
Lineage: Eukaryota; Metazoa; Chordata; Mammalia; Primates; Hominidae
Description: non-protein coding lnc-MAMDC4-3:1
Source: RNAcentral